Molecule: ribosomal RNA, 520 nt
Filed under: uncultured Glomus
Lineage: Eukaryota; Fungi; Glomeromycota; Glomeromycetes; Glomerales; Glomeraceae
Description: SSU rRNA
Rfam family: Eukaryotic small subunit ribosomal RNA
Source: RNAcentral
AGCAGCCGCGGUAAUUCCAGCUCCAAUAGCGUAUAUUAAAGUUGUUGCAGUUAAAAAGCUCGUAGUUGAAUUUCGGGGUUAGUAGGUUGGUCAUGCCUCUGGUAUGUACUGGUCUCACUGAUUCCUCCUUCCUGAUGAACCUUAAUGCCAUUAAUUUGGUGUUUUGGGGAAUUUGGACUGUUACUUUGAAAAAAUUUAGAGUGUUUAAAGCAGGCUCACGCUUGAAUACAUUAGCAUGGAAUAAUGAAAUAGGACGUUUGAUUCUAUUUUGUUGGUUUCUAGGAUCGACGUAAUGAUUAAUAGGGAUAGUUGGGGGCAUUAGUAUUCAAUUGUCAGAGGUGAAAUUCUUGGAUUUAUUGAAGACUAACUACUGCGAAAGCAUUUGCCAAGGAUGUUUUCAUUAAUCAAGAACGAAAGUUAGGGGAUCGAAGACGAUCAGAUACCGUCGUAGUCUUAACCAUAAACUAUGCCGACUAGGGAUCGGAUGAUGUUAAUUUUUUAAUGACUCAUUCGGCGCCUU